This 276-nucleotide ribosomal RNA is filed under the name Escherichia coli 2-460-02_S4_C1. RNAcentral describes it as "partial 16S ribosomal RNA". It matches the Rfam family "Bacterial large subunit ribosomal RNA", at positions 1095 to 1370 of the family's 2925-position model. Lineage: Bacteria; Pseudomonadati; Pseudomonadota; Gammaproteobacteria; Enterobacterales; Enterobacteriaceae. The record is from RNAcentral.
AGGAUGUUGGCUUAGAAGCAGCCAUCAUUUAAAGAAAGCGUAAUAGCUCACUGGUCGAGUCGGCCUGCGCGGAAGAUGUAACGGGGCUAAACCAUGCACCGAAGCUGCGGCAGCGACACUAUGCGUUGUUGGGUAGGGGAGCGUUCUGUAAGCCUGCGAAGGUGUGCUGUGAGGCAUGCUGGAGGUAUCAGAAGUGCGAAUGCUGACAUAAGUAACGAUAAAGCGGGUGAAAAGCCCGCUCGCCGGAAGACCAAGGGUUCCUGUCCAACGUUAAUC